This 78-nucleotide transfer RNA is filed under the name Pectinodesmus pectinatus. Its description in RNAcentral is "tRNA-Lys". The record is from RNAcentral. Lineage: Eukaryota; Viridiplantae; Chlorophyta; Chlorophyceae; Sphaeropleales; Scenedesmaceae.
UCGUCCUCUGGGCGGCAUAGCCGCUCCAGGAUGGCCUUUGGCCAUCUGGGGAGCAGCUUUGCUGCUCUCCAGGAUGAC